GACGAACGCUGGCGGCGUGCCUAAUACAUGCAAGUCGAGCGGACAGAUGGGAGCUUGCUCCCUGAUGUUAGCGGCGGACGGGUGAGUAACACGUGGGUAACCUGCCUGUAAGACUGGGAUAACUCCGGGAAACCGGGGCUAAUACCGGAUGCUUGUUUGAACCGCAUGGUUCAAACAUAAAAGGUGGCUUCGGCUACCACUUACAGAUGGACCCGCGGCGCAUUAGCUAGUUGGUGAGGUAAYGGCUCACCAAGGCAACGAUGCGUAGCCGACCUGAGAGGGUGAUCGGCCACACUGGGACUGAGACACGGCCCAGACUCCUACGGGAGGCAGCAGUAGGGAAUCUUCCGCAAUGGACGAAAGUCUGACGGAGCAACGCCGCGUGAGUGAUGAAGGUUUUCGGAUCGUAAAGCUCUGUUGUUAGGGAAGAACAAGUACCGUUCGAAUAGGGCGGUAC
Molecule: ribosomal RNA, 457 nt
Filed under: Bacillus sp. (in: firmicutes)
Lineage: Bacteria; Bacillati; Bacillota; Bacilli; Caryophanales; Bacillaceae
Description: bacterial SSU rRNA
Source: RNAcentral